GUAUAAGAGACAGCAGCAGCCGCGGGAAUACGGAGGGAGCUAGCGUUAUUCGGAAUUACUGGGCGUAAAGCGCACGUAGGCGGCUUUGUAAGUAAGAGGUGAAAGCCCGGGGCUCAGCCCCGGAAUUGCCUUUUAGACUGCAUCGCUUGAAUCAUGGAGAGGUCAGUGGAAUUCCGAGUGUAGAGGUGAAAUUCGUAGAUAUUCGGAAGAACACCAGUGGCGAAGGCGGCUGACUGGACAUGUAUUGACGCUGAGGUGCGAAAGCGUGGGGAGCAAACAGGAUUAGAUACCCCUGUAGUCCCUGUCUCUUAUAA
This 314-nucleotide ribosomal RNA is filed under the name uncultured bacterium. Its description in RNAcentral is "partial 16S ribosomal RNA". It matches the Rfam family "Bacterial small subunit ribosomal RNA", at positions 495 to 809 of the family's 1533-position model. The record is from RNAcentral.